UACGUAGGGGGCAAGCGUUGCUCGGAAUCACUGGGCGUAAAGCGCACGUAGGCGGAUCUUUAAGUCAGGGGUGAAAUCCUGGAGCUCAACUCCAGAACUGCCUUUGAUACUGAGGAUCUCGAGUCCGGGAGAGGUGAGUGGAACUGCGAGUGUAGAGGUGAAAUUCGUAGAUAUUCGCAAGAACACCAGUGGCGAAGGCGGCUCACUGGCCCGGUACUGACGCUGAGGUGCGAAAGCGUGGGGAGCAAACAGG
This 253-nucleotide ribosomal RNA is filed under the name uncultured bacterium. RNAcentral describes it as "partial 16S ribosomal RNA". It matches the Rfam family "Bacterial small subunit ribosomal RNA", at positions 524 to 776 of the family's 1533-position model. The record is from RNAcentral.